Molecule: ribosomal RNA, 455 nt
Filed under: uncultured bacterium
Lineage: Bacteria
Description: bacterial SSU rRNA
Rfam family: Bacterial small subunit ribosomal RNA
Source: RNAcentral
AGGCAGCAGUGGGGAAUAUUGCACAAUGGGGGAAACCCUGAUGCAGCCAUGCCGCGUGUGUGAAGAAGGCCUUCGGGUUGUAAAGCACUUUCAGUAGGGAGGAAGGUAGUGUAGUUAACACCUGCAUUAUUUGACGUUACCUACAGAAGAAGCACCGGCUAACUCCGUGCCAGCAGCCGCGGUAAUACGGAGGGUGCGAGCGUUAAUCGGAAUUACGUGGGCGUAAAGCGCAUGCAGGCGGCCUGUUAAGUCAGAUGUGAAAGCCCGGGGCUUAACCUCGGAAUUGCAUUUGAAAACUGGCAGGCUAGAGUCUUGUAGAGGGGGUAGAAUUUCAGGUGUAGCGGUGAAAUGCGUAGAGAUCUGAAGGAAUACCAGUGGCGAAGGCGGCCCCCUGGACAAAGACUGACGCUCAGAUGCGAAAGCGUGGGGAGCAAACAGGAUUAGAUACCCUGUAG